UGGUAAAGUGAUUGUGGUCAUGCCUU
Molecule: non-coding RNA, 26 nt
Filed under: Homo sapiens (human)
Lineage: Eukaryota; Metazoa; Chordata; Mammalia; Primates; Hominidae
Source: RNAcentral